Molecule: ribosomal RNA, 522 nt
Filed under: Triticum aestivum (bread wheat)
Lineage: Eukaryota; Viridiplantae; Streptophyta; Magnoliopsida; Poales; Poaceae
Description: partial small subunit ribosomal RNA
Source: RNAcentral
AUGGAGUGGAUAUCCUGGAUAAUGGCGUGUGUUAAGUCGGUGAAAUACUCGGUGAAGUUUAAUGGGAAGAUACUGGAGUCUUUUGUCCCCUCUAGGGGUUUGCGGCAAGGUGAUCCACUUUCCGCCUUCUUGUUCCUAUUUGUUGCUGAUGAUCUGUCCUCUCUUAUUUCAAAGUCAGUGAACAAUGGGGAGUUGAGGGGGAUCUCAAUAUGCCGUGGUGCACCGGUGAUUUCUCAUUUGCUGUCUGCGGAUGAUACCAUGCUACUCUUUGAAGUGUCAACCCAGCAAGCAAGCGUUGUCAAAGGUUUAUUGAACGCAUACACCUCAGCGACGGGUCAACUUAUUAACCCUAGGAAGUGUUCCAUCCUUUUCUCGGAAAAUUGCAUGCAGUCGGUGGCGGACGACGUGAAACAUAUACUGGAUGUUACUCAGCAGGUUUUUGAGCCUAAAUACUUGGGCUUACCGGUCCUGGAAGGAAGAAUGCACAAAGGACAAUUUGAGACUCUUCAAGAGAGAUUAUGA